AAACGCUUGAAGUCAGUCGCGUUAGCUAGGAAUCAGCCUUGCUUUUGCUUGGUGUACUUCCUGGUUGACGGGUCAGCAUCAAUUUUGACCGGUGGAAAAAGGCCAGUUGAAUG
Molecule: ribosomal RNA, 113 nt
Filed under: Clitopilus sp.
Lineage: Eukaryota; Fungi; Basidiomycota; Agaricomycetes; Agaricales; Entolomataceae
Description: partial large subunit ribosomal RNA
Source: RNAcentral